Molecule: unclassified non-coding RNA, 2399 nt
Filed under: Leishmania donovani
Lineage: Eukaryota; Euglenozoa; Kinetoplastea; Trypanosomatida; Trypanosomatidae
Description: gene:LdHU3.36.8850(CDS-product:GTPase_activating_ protein_putative)
Source: RNAcentral
CAUACCUCAGUUUUUUAACGCACCUGCAGCACGGCCUUUCCUCCUCUCAGACGCGCCAUACACAGAUUUUCCGUGGUCGACGUUCGUCCUUUCCUUCGUGCCACGGUUUCCCAUCAUUGGCGCCUCUUUUUCAAACUCACCCCUUAAAAACGCGGAGUGUAAUAGCGAUAAUCAAACUUUUACUCGCCCCCCCUCCCCAUCACCUCAAGGCAGCCACAAUGGCCACCGCCGCUCACCUGCAGAAGAUAACAGGCCUCAAGGAGGCCCGCGCAAAGGAGUGUUUUGACGCCUUCGGCAGCUACCCCGCCGCCCUCGCGUCGUUCGCGCAGUCGUUUUCCGCCAUUCCAGCUGACUUCUUCGAGGACACAACCGUGGCCCACAAAAAUGCAGAGAAGAUCAACGAUGAGCUACGCGUCAUUCACCGCAAAGCGCGAGAGUUGAAGGCCAAGUCAGGCAAGUCGGACGCGGAGGUGUGGAGGAUGUAUUCCGCAGAACAGAAGGCGCUGUCGGAAGCCACAGCGCCAACAGCUCAGGGCUCGGUGCUGGGGGAGGCACCAGCGACGCAGGCGAACGUGUCUGGCGCUCCCGCCGCACCCAGCACGUCGUCAGCCAAUGCAAGCGCCUUUGGCUUUGGUGUUGCAGCUUCCACUCAGGCCACGUCAAUGCCCGGCGCAAAGCCAAUGUUCGGCUUCGGCAACACUGCAGCUACGACGCCGAAGCCCGCCUCUGAUGCGGCAGUGCCGAUUUCCUUCGGCUUCGGCAAGACUGCUGCAACGACAACCACAACGGCUACUGCUCCGUCGGUGUCCAGCUUUGGUGCGGCUGCCGAGGCAGCCACUGCGGACCGGGCGUCAAAGAAGCCCGUGAAGUAUUGCAAGCCGACUCAUUUCACCGGCCCUUACUUUGAUAUGCCCCUCUUCUGGCAGGUAGAGGUGGUGGAGCGGGCGCCACUGUUAAACCUGAACAACGGAUUUCUGGAGGCGCACAAGGAUGAGCUGCGGCCGCGGCUCGAGAAAUGGGUGGAGAAGGCCGCAUUUUACCGCAAGCCCGUGCAGUACGUAGAGAUCGAAGACGAGGAUGAGGAUGUGGUGCGCGUCAUCAUCAAGGACGCAGACCGCACCUUCUUCCAUCCGGACCACCGCCGAAAGAUGGUGGCGUUUCUGAACGCCAUGUACCACGAGUUCCACGCGUACGGCCAGGCCAUGAGCUAUCUUGCUGGCUUGUGCAUGCUUGUGCUGACCGAGGUUGAGACGGCGGCAGUGAUCCGGUUUGUGGCGACGGAGUACCUGAAGGGGCACUGGGCAGCGGAGGCGGUGGGCUUCGCCACGAGUGCGUGGGUGGUCGAGUACUUUAUGCAGAAGCAGCAGCCCGAGGUCGCGAAGCAUCUGGAGAAGCUGAAUUUCUGGCCGGACACAUACCUGCAGAAGAUCUUGACAGGUCUGUGCAUUCACGUGCUGCAAUUCAACGAACUCUUCAGCUUCUUGGAUGCCUUCAUGCAAGGCGGCAUGCGAUUCCUCAUCCGCUUCUGUCUCGCCAUUGUCGAGCACUUCCGCACCGAACUACUCGCCAUCAAGAGCUCCACCGAGGCGAACGAGCUGUACGAGCUGAUGCGCCUGGAUUAUCGCGUCGCUGACCACGAGGAUGUCCUGGCCAUUCUUCAGCGGGCACCGUACAUCGACCUCGGAGAGGAUGGAGACAGCAUCGAUCUCAUCCGCAGCCAGGUCUACGAGAAGCGCAUUGCGCCUCGCCUGCAGCGGGCGCCAAAGACGGAAACGUUUGAGCCGUGCGAAAUCUGCGACAAGAAACGGCCAAAGUGGUGGAACGAAGACCUCGGUGCUGUGUGCGAUGACUGCAAGGCCACCCAUCCACACAUCGAGUUCGAGAAGUACUGAAGACGCUUAAAACCGAAAAAGAGAGAUGGGGAAGAGGAGCUCUUUGUUCGGACAGCUUGAAAAGCUUCCGAGAGCGGCUCAGCUUCCUUUCGCGACAUUCCGUGCCGGUGCUUCCUAUCGCCCCAUCGUUUCGUUUUUUUUUCCUGCCGCCCCCUGUGAAGGGGCGGGGCGGGGGGCGCGUGCGUAAGCCGCAACCGUUGUGCCGCUACUGCCACGGUGUGCACGCAAAGGCAAAAGAAGAGAAUCAAGCUCCGCAGCGAGUGUGCAUCCUGCACGCAUAGGUGGUACACGGGAGGAUAUAUGCAAUGCUCUGCAUCGACCAUGAUGAGAGCCCCGCCAGCUAUCCCUUCCUGUGCGUGUUGCUGGUCUUUUCUCGUUCCUUGUUGUACGCGCAACCCCAAGUGACGGGGCAACUAAGCCGUUUAGUCACGCGAAAUGGACGAAGCACACCUCUCAGCUGCACUUCUCUAUCUUCUAUGCUUCUUCUUGUUUGUUUUCACCGCUUAG